Non-coding RNA from Arabidopsis thaliana (thale cress), 238 nucleotides. RefSeq annotates it as microRNA ath-MIR5635d precursor. Lineage: Eukaryota; Viridiplantae; Streptophyta; Magnoliopsida; Brassicales; Brassicaceae. The transcript has a single exon. The record is from RefSeq.
AGUUGACUUCUAAUUUAACCUAUAAGUUAUCGUUGACACGGCCAAAUCGACUCACCAUUAACACUUCUUAACAGCUCUCCUAACAGCGUAACUAACAACUGUUUUUGUCCUUAAACCAACGAUAACGGCUGUUAGGCCAUGUUUUGUAACGGCUGUUAGGAGCGCUGUUAAGGAGUGUUAACGGUGAGUCUAUUUGGCUGGGUCAACGAUAAAUUAUAUGUUAAAUUAGAAGUCAACA